CUUUAGAGAAAAACAGGUUUUCAUUUUCAUUUCAUAAGAAUUUUGAGAGAGGUAGAGAGAAAAAGUUCAAGAGAAGAGGAAAAGGGUUAGAAGGGAUAAAGCUUGAAGACCCAAGAGGUGAUAGAGAUUCUAGGAGCUAAAUUGAAGUUUUUGCUAGGAUUAUUGCUAAUUGAGAUGGGUAGACGAAGUACAGGAUUAGUUGCUUUUGGUGAGUUGCUUGGUGAUUGCUUGGAUAUCGGGAGAUAUCUCCGUUAUUGUUUCCUUAGAGUCUUAGGGUAGGCUCUGAUCUAGGAUGUAUGUCUUAAGAUUAUUCUAGAUUGUUUAUUCUGGAUUUAUUUAUGUUGUGGAGAUUUGCCCAUUUGUUGGGAUUUGGAGAAUUUUUAUGAUGAUGUAUUUUGAUCUCAUGGCAUGUAUACUUUUGAGGUGUAUGGUUUAUAUCCGCUGCAACUGUUGAAAAUUUUUAUAUAUGCCUGUUGAUUUUGUUUUUGUUGAUGUCGUGGCGUCUAUUUCUUGAAUAUUAUAUUAUUCGCGUGUUUUAUCGCUUUAAUAGAAAUAGGGCGUUACACAUCUCUUUAUAUAUAAGUUACAAGAGAUGUAAAAUGCUCUAG
Molecule: long non-coding RNA, 608 nt
Filed under: Medicago truncatula (barrel medic)
Lineage: Eukaryota; Viridiplantae; Streptophyta; Magnoliopsida; Fabales; Fabaceae
Description: lncRNA gene18388
Source: RNAcentral